Molecule: ribosomal RNA, 414 nt
Filed under: uncultured microorganism
Description: bacterial SSU rRNA
Rfam family: Archaeal small subunit ribosomal RNA
Source: RNAcentral
GUGCAGCAGGCGCGAAACCUCCGCAAUACACGAAAGUGUGACGGGGCCAUCCCGAGUGCCGUCCGCUGAGGACGGCUUUUCCCCAGUGUACACAGCUGGGGGAAUAAGGAGAGGGCAAGCCUGGUGUCAGCCGCCGCGGUAAUACCAGCUCUCCGAGUGGUGGGGACGCUUAUUGGGCCUAAAGCAUCCGUAGCCGGCUGGGCAAGUCCUCCGUUAAAUCCAACGAUUCAAUCGUUGGGCUGCGGGGGAUACUGUCCAGCUUGGGGGCGGGAGAGGCCGACGGUAUUCCCGGGGUAGGGGUGAAAUCCUAUAAUCCCGGGAGGACCACCAGUGGCGAAGGCUGUCGGCUAGAACGCGCCCGACGGUGAGGGAUGAAAGCGUGGGGGAGCGAACCGGAUUAGAUACCCCGGUAGU